ACGGAGGUGCGAGCGUUAAUCGGAAUAACUGGGCGUAAAGGGCACGCAGGCGGUGACUUAAGUGAGGUGUGAAAGCCCCGGGCUUAACCUGGGAAUUGCAUUUCAUACUGGGUCGCUAGAGUACUUUAGGGAGGGUAGAAUUCCAGUGUAGCGGUGAAAUGCGUAGAGAUGUGGAGGAAUACCGAAGGCGAAGGCAGCCCCUUGGGAAUGUACUGACGCUCAUGUGCGAAAAGCGUGGGGAGCAAACAGGAUU
RNAcentral lists this ribosomal RNA (253 nucleotides) under uncultured bacterium. RNAcentral describes it as "partial 16S ribosomal RNA". It matches the Rfam family "Bacterial small subunit ribosomal RNA", at positions 525 to 779 of the family's 1533-position model. The record is from RNAcentral.